GAUGAACGCUAGCUACAGGCUUAACACAUGCAAGUCGAGGGGAAACGAUAUUGGAAGCUUGCUUCCGAUAGGCGUCGACCGGCGCACGGGUGAGUAACGCGUAUCCAACCUGCCCAUCACUUGGGGAUAACCUUGCGAAAGUAAGACUAAUACCCAAUGACGUCUCUAGAAGACAUCUGAAAGAGAUUAAAGAUUUAUCGGUUAUGGAUGGGGAUGCGUCUGAUUAGCUUGUUGGCGGGGUAACGGCCCACCAAAGCGACGAUCAGUAGGGGUUCUGAGAGGAAGGUCCCCCACAUUGGAACUGAGACACGGUCCAAACUCCUACGGGAGGCAGCAGUGAGGAAUAUUGGUCAAUGGACGAGAGUCUGAACCAGCCAAGUAGCGUGCAGGAUGACGGCCCUAUGGGUUGUAAACUGCUUUUAUAAGGGAAUAAAGUGAGUCUCGUGAGACUUUUUGCAUGUACCUUAUGAAUAAGGACCGGCUAAUUCCGUGCCAGCAGCCGCCGUAA
Molecule: ribosomal RNA, 508 nt
Filed under: uncultured bacterium
Lineage: Bacteria
Description: partial 16S ribosomal RNA
Rfam family: Bacterial small subunit ribosomal RNA
Source: RNAcentral